CCUCCCUCCGCGCCACCUAUCCCCGGCUAUUCACCAGCGCGAUGACAAAUCUCCCGGGCGUGUGUCCGUCCCGUCCUUCCAGACAGCGCUGCGUCCCCAUCUCGGCGGCGGACCGGCCGGCGAGGAGCUGUAAUGUCUUGGAGGAUCCUUGCUGCCAAGAUGAGGAGUUAGCAGAGGAAGUGAUCAGGCUGCGUAGUAUAAGGAAAGAGGAAAGAGAGAUAGGACACUCUCUGAGACUCAGCAGCUUGAAAAGCCACCACCCCCACCUGCGAAUGAGAAGUUGACAGUGUUCACCCCUAAUAUAAAGGUGCAGCUAUUGUGAUCUACUUUCAGAGUAUGUCAAGUUAUUAAGUACAGGAGAAACAAGAAGAAAGACAUAGAAUCAAAAACAGGUCCUUCAGAGAAGAUGAUGCAGUCUGUUUCCCGACAACUCUUCCCUGAGGAAUUCCCCAUCAAGACUGACAGCUGUAUAUCAACAGGACAUCCUGGUAGAGAAGAAGGGAUGGCUACAUUAAACCAUAAAGGAUCUUUGCCAGACCUGUAUUGUGAAAGCAAACUCUCUCUUGUUAAAUUGGGAGCUCUGUUCUUUCCACAAAGACACGCAUAACUUCCUCCACCCUUGGUGCAAAUCAAACACCUAAGAGCCUGUUUGAAUAUGGGGCUGAGCAUAAAAUUAUUUGACAAAUUAUGUCAGUGCAAACUAGUUACAAAUUAUGUUAGUGCAAACCAGUUACUGUGACAGCAGGCACCUAU
Molecule: long non-coding RNA, 753 nt
Organism: Ficedula albicollis (Collared flycatcher)
Lineage: Eukaryota; Metazoa; Chordata; Aves; Passeriformes; Muscicapidae
Exons: 4
Source: RefSeq, a predicted model, not a curated record